This is a non-coding RNA of Pelobates cultripes (western spadefoot toad), 234 nucleotides long. NCBI's taxonomy places the organism in Eukaryota, Metazoa, Chordata, Amphibia, Anura, Pelobatidae. The record is from the annotation of a GenBank genome assembly.
AUGUGGUUCACCUGGGUAGAGCAGUAAGGCAGGUAGAAGAGUGGUCUGCUUUGGUGUGAUAUUUAAGUCUCUUUGCAUUAAUGUCAAUGUCCAUCUUGAUAAACGAGCUGAAGAAAUGAUAGUCUCUCCUGGUUUUAGCAGCAAGUUCAAAGGAGUAUGGGGGCUGUGUAUUGUCAAGCUUUGAAGUCCGGUGAUGUAGGUGAAGUGGUCUAUUGCCCAGAAUGUUGCUAGAAG